UUGAACUGAAGAGUUUGAUCCUGGCUCAGAUUGAACGCUGGCGGCAUGCCUUACACAUGCAAGUCGGACGGCAGCGCGGGC
RNAcentral lists this ribosomal RNA (81 nucleotides) under Paraburkholderia diazotrophica. Its description in RNAcentral is "16S rRNA. Bacterial SSU". It matches the Rfam family "Bacterial small subunit ribosomal RNA", at positions 1 to 79 of the family's 1533-position model. The record is from RNAcentral. Lineage: Bacteria; Pseudomonadati; Pseudomonadota; Betaproteobacteria; Burkholderiales; Burkholderiaceae.